This 253-nucleotide ribosomal RNA is filed under the name uncultured bacterium. Its description in RNAcentral is "partial 16S ribosomal RNA". It matches the Rfam family "Bacterial small subunit ribosomal RNA", at positions 524 to 776 of the family's 1533-position model. The record is from RNAcentral.
UACGGAGGGUGCAAGCGUUGUUCGGAAUUACUGGGCGUAAAGGGCGUGUAGGUGGUUGACUAAGUCAGGUGUGAAAGCCCUCAGCUCAACUGAGGAAGCGCAUCUGAAACUGGUUAACUUGAGUACGGGAGAGGAGAGUGGAAUUCCUGGUGUAGAGGUGAAAUUCGUAGAUAUCAGGAGGAACAUCGGUGGCGAAGGCGACUCUCUGGACCGAUACUGACACUGAGACGCGAAAGCGUGGGGAGCAAACAGG